UACGUAGGGGGCAGGCGUUAUCCGGAUUUACUGGGUGUAAAGGGAGCGUAGACGGCAUGGCAAGCCAGAUGUGAAAUACCGGGGCUCAACCCCGGGACUGCAUUUGGAACUGUUAAGCUGGAGUGUCGGAGAGGCAGGCGGAAUUCCUAGUGUAGCGGUGAAAUGCGUAGAUAUUAGGAGGAACACCAGUGGCGAAGGCGGCCUGCUGGACGAUAACUGACGUUGAGGCUCGAAAGCGUGGGGAGCAAACAGG
RNAcentral lists this ribosomal RNA (253 nucleotides) under uncultured bacterium. RNAcentral describes it as "partial 16S ribosomal RNA". It matches the Rfam family "Bacterial small subunit ribosomal RNA", at positions 524 to 776 of the family's 1533-position model. The record is from RNAcentral.